GUGUCCCAACCUCCCACAUGAUGAAAUGAUCCUUUUAAAGCGGGCUCAAUAUGUCUCAAUCUGCACUCCUCUUCUCUCUCUAAAGCUGCUGGGUUCGGGACACAGCCCAGAAAUAUAUUAAUUAAAGCUCACUACUACAGACUCUUCUUUUGCACAGUGGAAGAAACGGUUGGAUCAAGUCAGGCUCUGUCAAUGACGGAUGGAUGAAGAUUCACGGCAGGAAAAAAAAAGAAAAGAAAGGAGCUGCUGCGCGUGGUGACAGUGUUGGAGGUCUCCUCUGCCUCCUCGCCCUCUUUCGCCUCCAGGACCUCACUGAAGAACCUGAAGAUGGAGAUGAAACUCAUCCAGGAGAAGCGAUCAAUGGCACAGCGCUCCCUCGUUCACCCUGAACUGGCGGUGAACUCCUGCGGAACGCUGCCAGCCUCUCCACCCUAUCCCAUCGCAGUUCGGGGUCACCAGGGGGCCGCCUCUGUGCCAAUAUGCAGAUGAGACUGUGCCCCUCCAAUGACUCUAGUGUUAGAAUCCACCCCUCUAUAUGGUGGAGGCUUUGAGAUGACUUCCACCUCCCCACCCAGACAAGACUCACACACAGAGACAUAAACCCAGUCUCAUAUGGGCUUAAACAGGCCUUUAACAGCUUACGUCCACUCUUCCUUUAAUAGCCGAAGUGUGUCGAACCUAAUGGAUGGUGUCAAAGCUGAGAUGUGACCACUGAUUUAGAGGAGGAGCCUAAUUGACCAGGCUUCAAUAGCCACUAGAGAGACAGAGGAGAGAGAGAGAGAGAGAGAGAGAAUUACCUCAGCUAUGCCACAAAUCAAAGUAAUAUCUUUAAAAGAUGUUGAGAUCGACGAGGUGUCAUCGGGCUGUAUCUUGUGUGUAAAGUGAACCCAUAAACAGCUAAUAAAUACUACUCUAUCCUCAGUUUUAGUCCCUUGCUGAAAAAGUUUUUCAACUAAUAAGCAAACAUUUUUUUUAUGAUCAAUUGAUUUCAUGUAUUGUUAAAACAAGAUAUAACAGGCAAAGAGCUCUUGCAUUACCAUGAUUUUAAUCAUAUUUUUUAUCUUGUGUUUAAUUGAUCAAACUUUGAAAAUAAAAUACCUUCUGUAUUUAUGUGUGCUUUCUUGCAUUAACUAUGAAUCAAUUAAGUUGCAUUCGCUCAUU
Long non-coding RNA from Xiphias gladius (swordfish), 1161 nucleotides. RefSeq lists it as uncharacterized. The record is from RefSeq and is a predicted model, not a curated record. NCBI's taxonomy places the organism in Eukaryota, Metazoa, Chordata, Actinopteri, Istiophoriformes, Xiphiidae. The transcript has 3 exons.